UACGUAGGUGGCAAGCGUUGUCCGGAAUUAUUGGGCGUAAAGCGCGCGCAGGCGGCCUCUUGAGUCUGAUGUGAAAGCCCCCGGCUCAACCGGGGAGGGCCAUUGGAAACUGGGAGGCUUGAGUAUAGGAGAGAAGAGUGGAAUUCCACGUGUAGCGGUGAAAUGCGUAGAGAUGUGGAGGAACACCAGUGGCGAAGGCGACUCUUUGGCCUAUAACUGACGCUGAGGCGCGAAAGCGUGGGGAGCAAACAGGG
RNAcentral lists this ribosomal RNA (254 nucleotides) under uncultured bacterium. RNAcentral describes it as "partial 16S ribosomal RNA". It matches the Rfam family "Bacterial small subunit ribosomal RNA", at positions 524 to 777 of the family's 1533-position model. The record is from RNAcentral.